This is a non-coding RNA of Phalacrocorax carbo (great cormorant), 367 nucleotides long. Lineage: Eukaryota; Metazoa; Chordata; Aves; Suliformes; Phalacrocoracidae. The record is from RefSeq and is a predicted model, not a curated record.
UGGUGGGUUUUUUCCUUUCUGUUGUCCUUCCCAUACUUCUCCAUGGCAGGUUCACGUUCAUGCCACCAAGAGAAGCAAACAGUUUUGCCUCCGAUACUGAAGAUCACUUAUUUAGUCCUUUGAACUGGGUCAUUUGCAGGUGAUGCCUUUUCGUGACCCAGCUCUUCCAGGAAAAGGCUUCAUUUCAUUGCCGAGAGAAAUGUAGAAGGGUCCUUCAGAAUGAAAGAGACAUCUUCUGGAAAAUGAAGUUUCAUCCUAAAUUCUCAGUCCAGGCUUACGCCGUAACAGCCAGGCAGUGUUGGAGGUGCAGGAGCUCAGUGUUUGGAUGGCCAGCUGACCCCAAGCAAUGCCCAUGUGGCAGUGAAUG